This 1341-nucleotide ribosomal RNA is filed under the name uncultured bacterium. RNAcentral describes it as "16S ribosomal RNA". It matches the Rfam family "Bacterial small subunit ribosomal RNA", at positions 28 to 1381 of the family's 1533-position model. The record is from RNAcentral.
GACGAACGCUGGCGGCGUGCUUAACACAUGCAAGUCGAACGGUAGGGCUCCAGCUUGCUGGGGUACACGAGUGGCGAACGGGUGAGUAACACGUGGGUGACCUGCCCUGCACUUCGGGAUAAGCCUGGGAAACUGGGUCUAAUACCGGAUAGGACCGCACCGUGAGGGUGUGGUGGAAAGUUUUUUCGGUGUGGGAUGGGCCCGCGGCCUAUCAGCUUGUUGGUGGGGUAAUGGCCUACCAAGGCGGCGACGGGUAGCCGGCCUGAGAGGGUGGACGGCCACAUUGGGACUGAGACACGGCCCAGACUCCUACGGGAGGCAGCAGUGGGGAAUAUUGCACAAUGGGCGGAAGCCUGAUGCAGCGACGCCGCGUGGGGGAUGACGGCCUUCGGGUUGUAAACUCCUUUCACCAUCGACGAAGGGUUUCUGACGGUAGAUGGAGAAGAAGCACCGGCUAACUACGUGCCAGCAGCCGCGGUAAUACGUAGGGUGCGAGCGUUGUCCGGAAUUACUGGGCGUAAAGAGCUCGUAGGUGGUUUGUCGCGUCGUCUGUGAAAUUCCGGGGCUUAACUCCGGGCGUGCAGGCGAUACGGGCAUAACUUGAGUACUGUAGGGGAGACUGGAAUUCCUGGUGUAGCGGUGAAAUGCGCAGAUAUCAGGAGGAACACCGGUGGCGAAGGCGGGUCUCUGGGCAGUAACUGACGCUGAGGAGCGAAAGCAUGGGGAGCGAACAGGAUUAGAUACCCUGGUAGUCCAUGCCGUAAACGGUGGGCGCUAGGUGUGGGUUUCCUUCCACGGGAUCUGUGCCGUAGCUAACGCAUUAAGCGCCCCGCCUGGGGAGUACGGCCGCAAGGCUAAAACUCAAAGGAAUUGACGGGGGCCCGCACAAGCGGCGGAGCAUGUGGAUUAAUUCGAUGCAACGCGAAGAACCUUACCUGGGCUUGACAUAUACAGGAUCGCGCCAGAGAUGGUGUUUCCCUUGUGGCUUGUAUACAGGUGGUGCAUGGUUGUCGUCAGCUCGUGUCGUGAGAUGUUGGGUUAAGUCCCGCAACGAGCGCAACCCUUGUCUUAUGUUGCCAGCACGUUGUGGUGGGGACUCGUAAGAAACUGCCGGGGUUAACUCGGAGGAAGGUGGGGAUGACGUCAAAUCAUCAUGCCCCUUAUGUCCAGGGCUUCACACAUGCUACAAUGGUCGGUACAGUGGGUUGCCAGUCCGUGAGGGCGAGCUAAUCCCGCAAAGCCGGUCUCAGUUCGGAUCGGGGUCUGCAACUCGACCCCGUGAAGUCGGAGUCGCUAGUAAUCGCAGAUCAGCAACGCUGCGGUGAAUACGUUCCCGGGCCU